UCUUGUGUUAUCUGGUAUCCUCUGUGCUUGACAUGUCAGACUUCCUGCACGUGCGCUGCAAAGCUAGUCUACACAUACGCGCUAUGCCGAUACCUCCUAGACUAGUCUGAUUUAGGAUCCCACAAUGUUCCUCUGACGGAUCAGGUUUAAUGCAUAUGUGCAAGUACAGCUGAUCUACACAUUCAGUGUGGUCCUAGCCUGGACUCUUGACUAUUCUGCAUGCAAGAAAUUUCACAUAAUCUUUUCCAUUCGUCAUCAGCCAGGUUGCUGAUUACCAGAGUAACUGCCAAGCUUUCAACUCCUUGUCAUCAAUGGGCUGUGAAUGACAGACAGCAUUAAUGUUGGCAAGCUCCCACUCUCCUUUUCGCCUUUCCCAAAUGUAAUUAAACUGCACUAAUACAGCAAAAGAAGAGCUGCAGCUUUAUUUUACUCACCCUAAUAAUUAAAUCACAGAAGCACACAAUGGAGUCAAAUAAACCCAUCAUGGCACAGAAAUUCAGAGGUAAGGGAAGUAUGCAUUUACCCCUUAGAGAAAAAAAAACAUGAGAAAAGAGUCCUCCUUUCUGUUCCUAACAGUACAAUGACUGCACUGUUUGACCUUCAACAAGACAGUAUGUCCAACAUCUGAGUAGCUAGCCACUCUCUGUUGCAGCCUGGUGAAAGGCAUCAAGUGUUUCCUCUUCUGUUGCACCUUCAAUUUAAGCAUAAAUGGAAUAAUUAGCCUCUCCUUGAAAUGAUCUGCUAUUUCUCUGGUAGGGGACAGCUGGAUAAAGGACAGAAAAGAUGUAAUAUACAGUUUGAAUGACACACAACUUACCCACCAGAACAAGAAGGCAUUAUCCUGAUCACGGAGGAAGUCCUGAGCUUUUGGUUUAAAGACUGGGGGUGUCAGAGGAUAACCAGGAGUGAGGAAGAAGGAGAAAAGAGAGUCCUCACUUCACCUGCAGAGGAUGACAGAGGCUUGUAGAAUGCACACUUAUCACUGAACAUUUCUGGGAUAGAUAACUUACCACCAAAUUAAUUUUUGUAUGUUUCUCAGGACUGAGGUGAGUGAAAUGAAGUUACAGGCCUGCAGGAAUGCAAUGGAAUUUGCCCAUAAAGCUGUCCCCCAUUGCUCUAGGAUGGCAAGCAGGCGCUCAUAAGGAGGCUGAGAACUGACUGCCAUGAGCACUGUAAACACAGCUUUGUGGCCA
Molecule: long non-coding RNA, 1193 nt
Filed under: Anas platyrhynchos (mallard)
Lineage: Eukaryota; Metazoa; Chordata; Aves; Anseriformes; Anatidae
Description: lncRNA (ENSAPLG00020006459.1)
Source: RNAcentral